AUGCGCGGGGAGGAGGAGGGCGGCGGGGAGCUCCUCGCUCCUCCCGGGAUGCGCCGCCUCGGGCUGCCUCCUCCUCCUCCCCCUCCUCUCUUCAGGGCCUCCCCACUGUCCGGAGGUGCCGCCCGGACGUCCCGCUCGCCGUCCCCCGCCCCUCUCCCCGCACAGGCCCCGCCGGCGGCCGGCAAGACCCGAGGGCGGCGGGGGAUUCCGGCCCGGCCUCCUCUCCUCUUCUCUCCCCGGGGCCUGCUGCACGAUCUCCGCGGGGAGAGGCCUGAGCAGCCCCGGGAAGGUCACGGGCGGCGUGCAGCCGGGCACGGAGCGGCUCCCCCCGGCCCCGCUCCUACAGCCGCCGGCCCAGCCUCAGCCUCAGCGGCCGCUGGGUGCCGCGCUCCGCCCGGGCUCGCUCCGUGCCGCUGCCCGGUGCCGCCUCCGGCUCGGAGUGCCAGGCUGCCCCCUUCCCUUUCUUCCUUCCUUCCUUCCUUCCUUCCUUGCCUCCCGCCCCUUCCCCGCUGCCAGCCUUCCCCCGCCCGGUGCCAGGCUGCCCCCUGCGGGUCUCGCCGCCCACCGCCGGCAGUGCUCCAGUGCCGGCAGAGGGGUGCUAGCCGCCGCCGCUGCUGCUCUGCCCCGGGCUCAGCGGCAGCUGCAGUGACUGUGUGUCUGUGUCAUGUCUGUGCAUGGGCGGGAGGAGGCGCGGCGCCGAGGCGGAGCCAGCCCGCUGACACACCGCCCAGCGACAGGCAACGAGCGCCCAACCAGCGGCAGCCGCGCACCGAGCGGCGCCCCCGGGCCGCUACACCUGGGUCGGGCCGGGUCGGGCCAGGCCGGAGCGGGAGGGGCGGAGAGGGGCGAGCCGACCCCGCGCCUCAGCGUGCGUGCGAUGCUGAGGGAAGUGUCUAAAGCGCUAUGGGAAGCACAAGCAGGACAGAAAUCCCAGGAGGGGAGCCAGUGUGAAUGCAGUUCUGAAGACAUUGAUCCCCUCCUAGGAUGGAAGAGGAAGGAAAGUAGGCACGUGCUUUGGGUAACAAU
RNAcentral lists this long non-coding RNA (1026 nucleotides) under Numida meleagris (helmeted guineafowl). Its description in RNAcentral is "lncRNA (ENSNMEG00000011885.1)". Lineage: Eukaryota; Metazoa; Chordata; Aves; Galliformes; Numididae. The record is from RNAcentral.